RNAcentral lists this long non-coding RNA (253 nucleotides) under Trifolium pratense (red clover). RNAcentral describes it as "long non-coding RNA (TPRA_LNC013936)". Lineage: Eukaryota; Viridiplantae; Streptophyta; Magnoliopsida; Fabales; Fabaceae. The record is from RNAcentral.
CCAUGAUGGGUGGUACUAGGGUUGUGAUCUUAUAUAAGAUUGGCUAGGUCCCCUUUGCCAUCACGAACAAACACAGUAAGCUCAUUUGUGGUUUUACCCAUCAAAGACCUCAAAGACUGGAGCAUGUGAUUAGGCAGAGGAAGACCUUGUCUAACAUAUCGGUGGUUCCGAUAUCGGCUAUUUCAAAAAAUAUGAUUGUCGAUUCAAGUAAGUGUGUUCUAAUUUCAUAUAAUAUAUCGAUCUCUAAAUUGUU